AGGACUGUGGCUCUGUGGGCAGAGUGCCUGCUUUCCAUGCAGAAAGAUCUAGGUUCAACUCUUGGCAUUUCUG
Phrynosoma platyrhinos (Desert horned lizard) is the source of this 73-nucleotide non-coding RNA. NCBI's taxonomy places the organism in Eukaryota, Metazoa, Chordata, Lepidosauria, Squamata, Phrynosomatidae. The record is from the annotation of a GenBank genome assembly.